RNAcentral lists this ribosomal RNA (840 nucleotides) under marine metagenome. Its description in RNAcentral is "bacterial SSU rRNA". It matches the Rfam family "Bacterial small subunit ribosomal RNA", at positions 669 to 1520 of the family's 1533-position model. The record is from RNAcentral.
UCUAGUGUAGAGGUGAAAUUCGUAGAUAUUAGAAAGAAUACCAAUUGCGAAGGCAGCUUUCUGGAUCAUUACUGACACUGAGGAACGAAAGCAUGGGUAGCGAAGAGGAUUAGAUACCCUCGUAGUCCAUGCCGUAAACGAUGUGUGUUAGACGUUGGAAAUUUAUUUUCAGUGUCGCAGCGAAAGCGAUAAACACACCGCCUGGGGAGUACGACCGCAAGGUUAAAACUCAAAUGAAUUGACGGGGACCCGCACAAGUAGUGGAGCAUGUGGUUUAAUUCGAAGAUACGCGCAGAACCUUACCAACACUUGACAUGUUCGUCGCGACUUUGAGAGAUCAAAGUUUUCGGUUCGGCCGGACGAAACACAGGUGCUGCAUGGCUGUCGUCAGCUCGUGUCGUGAGAUGUUGGGUUAAGUCCCGCAACGAGCGCAACCCUCACUUUUAGUUGCCAUCAUUAAGUUGGGCACUCUGAAAGAACUGCCAGUGAUAAGCUGGAGGAAGGUGGGGAUGACGUCAAGUCCUCAUGGCCCUUACGUGUUGGGCUACACACGUGCUACAAUGGUAUCUACAACAGGAAGCAAGACUGCGAAGUUAAGCAAAUCCUUAAAAGAUACCUCAGUUCGGAUUGCACUCUGCAACUCGAGUGCAUGAAGCUGGAAUUACUAGUAAUCGUGGAUCAGCGUGCCACGGUGAAUGCGUUCCCGGGUCUUGUACACACCGCCCGUCACACCAUGGGAGUUGGUUCUACCUUAAGGCAAGGUUUCAAACCCUUGACCACGGUAUAGUCAGCGACUGGGGUGAAGUCGUAACAAGGUAGCCGUAGGGGAACCUGCGGCUG